AGAGUUUGAUCCUGGCUCAGAUUGAACGCUGGCGGCAUGCCUUACACAUGCAAGUCGAACGGCAGCACGGGGGCAACCCUGGUGGCGAGUGGCGAACGGGUGAGUAAUAUAUCGGAACGUGCCCUGGAGUGGGGGAUAACGUAGCGAAAGUUACGCUAAUACCGCAUACGAUCUACGGAUGAAAGUGGGGGAUCGCAAGACCUCAUGCUCGUGGAGCGGCCGAUAUCUGAUUAGCUAGUUGGUAGGGUAAAAGCCUACCAAGGCAUCGAUCAGUAGCUGGUCUGAGAGGACGACCAGCCACACUGGGACUGAGACACGGCCCAGACUCCUACGGGAGGCAGCAGUGGGGAAUUUUGGACAAUGGGGGCAACCCUGAUCCAGCAAUGCCGCGUGAGUGAAGAAGGCCUUCGGGUUGUAAAGCUCUUUUGUCCGGGAAGAAACGGCGAGCUCUAAUACAGCUUGCUAAUGACGGUACCGGAAGAAUAAGCACCGGCUAACUACGUGCCAGCAGCCGCGGUAAUAC
RNAcentral lists this ribosomal RNA (523 nucleotides) under uncultured bacterium. Its description in RNAcentral is "bacterial SSU rRNA". It matches the Rfam family "Bacterial small subunit ribosomal RNA", at positions 8 to 526 of the family's 1533-position model. The record is from RNAcentral.